RNAcentral lists this unclassified non-coding RNA (165 nucleotides) under uncultured fungus. RNAcentral's name for it is "sequence contains ITS2". Lineage: Eukaryota; Fungi. The record is from RNAcentral.
CAACAAUCAAGCCCCGCUUGGUGUUGGGCCCGCGGCCGGUCCCCCCAAGGACCGGCCCGCCCGAAACGCAUCGGCGAGGAGACCGACCCCCGGCGUCUUGAGAAUCUCACGGUUCGCACGUCGGGAGCACCGGUGGCCUCCGCCGCGACCUUUUUUCAUUUCUAA